Molecule: ribosomal RNA, 1740 nt
Filed under: Triticum aestivum (bread wheat)
Lineage: Eukaryota; Viridiplantae; Streptophyta; Magnoliopsida; Poales; Poaceae
Description: partial small subunit ribosomal RNA
Source: RNAcentral
AUGGAGAUUAGUUGGAUUUGGCAGCCCCGGAAGGGGCGCGACGGCGGCGGCAACAUCCUUCCGGGGCCGCUACGACGACUCCCUGCAGUGCGCCAAGAAGUUCUACCCCUCCGCCUCGGCUACCAGGACGAGCUGCUCUGGGGCGCCGCCUGGCUCUACGAGGCCACCGGCGACGAGGACUACCUCGACUACGUAUCCCGGGACGCCGUGGGCUUCGGCAGGACCGGCUGGGCCGUGCGCGAGUUCUCCUGGGACAACAAGUAUGCUGGCGUCCAGGUGCUGCUCUCCAAGGUGCUCCUCGCCGGCGGCGGCGAUGAAGAACGGCGGCAACAACGUCCACCUGGUAGAGCGGCGGGCGCAGGCGGAGCAGGCGGCGGUGGCGCGGCUAGCAUCCGGCGGAGGAAGGUGAGGACGGCCUGGCGGCGGUGGCACGACUUGCCCUCGAAGCAGAGGGGGCGAAGCAGAGGAAGUCGCCAGCGGCGGCUCGAAGCGACGGAAUGCGCAGGGACGGCGGGGAAUGGAGCGGCGACGGGGCAACGGCUCCGGCGUGCUGCUCGUCGGCGGGAGGCAGGGUCGCAAGAAAACGAGGCGAGGCAGGUCGGCGAUGGAGCAGGAGAGGCAGAUCCCGAUCUGAAUCGGGAGGGUGUUUUCGCUUUUUGGCAAAAUUGUUGGGGUGAUGGUCAGAAUGCGCCCCACAUCGGUGCAGAUGUUAGCGCGCUCGAUGUCUUCGAUGGCAAAGCUAGCAUCUCAACAAAUGCCCAAUGUGUGCAGUUCAUCUUGAUACAUGAUUUCAUGUUGAUCGAGGUAUUGGAGCAAGAUUUCUUCUCUGGCAAGUUCAUGGCGGCAACACAAGAGACUUCAUCUUUGGUGGUGCUCCUUGAAUUCUGGUUUGUUUUGACUUCCUCCCCCGGGGUGAAAACUCAUGAUUCAGCCUAUGUGGUUGGAUCCGGCAACAAUCAUGCGAGUAUACAUGUGGCCGUGGCUGCGGGGCGUGGCAGCGGAACGCGUGCGCACGCGGGAUGUGCGGCGAUCGAUCGGAUGGAUCGUGGUCGAUCGGGCAAGCAUCAGGGGGCACAGGUACGUGCUCGUGGGAUCGUCUGGCAGCUAGGAGGCUGGCCUUGUGCAGGCCAAGGCCCACGUGUGGGCGUCAUGGAGCAGAUGGGCCAGCUGGAUGGAGCUUUCAUCAAUUCAUAUUUGGAUGAAACAAGAUUGUUGCGGCCAGAGAGCAGAAGCACAAGAAGCACGCGGGUGCGGCCAUCAGGCUGGAUUGCACCACUGAAAAACUACUCGAAGCUUAAUGUAGAUGCUUCAGUACAUCGUCAGGGUCAUGUUGGAGCGGUGGGAGCUAUCUGCCGUGACCAAGCUGGCCUAUUCCUUGGAGCGUCUGCUAUAGUGUACAACAAUGGUGAUCCAGCUACUUUGGAGGCGAUGGCCAUUCGGGAGGGUCUGGACUUGGCGGCAGACCUACAGAUUCAGCAGAUACAACUCGCAUCAGACUGCAAGGGAGUGAUAGAAGAAAUUCAGAGUGGAAGUGCCGCUACUUAUGGGGCGAUCAUUAAGGAGAUCAAGCAACAACAAUCUACUUUUAGUUCUUGUUUCUUUAUUCAUGAAUUUAGGAGCUCAAAUGUUGAGGCUCACAACCUAGCGAGACAUGCUUUAUCUUUGGGACCUGGCCGCCAUGUUUGGUUUGGCCAUCCCGUGGGGAUUCCGUUCGUCCAUGUAAACGUUGUGACGGUUUGA